Molecule: ribosomal RNA, 253 nt
Filed under: uncultured bacterium
Lineage: Bacteria
Description: partial 16S ribosomal RNA
Rfam family: Bacterial small subunit ribosomal RNA
Source: RNAcentral
UACGGAGGAGGCAAGCGUUAUCCGGAAUUAUUGGGCGUAAAGCGUCCGCAGGUGGCGAUUCAAGUCUGCGGUCAAAGACUGGGGCUUAACCCUGGAAAGGCCGUGGAAACUGAAUAGCUAGAGUGCAGUAGGGGUAGAGGGAGUUCCCGGUGUAGCGGUGAAAUGCGUAGAGCUCGGGAAGAACAUCGGUGGCGAAAGCGCUCUGCUGGACUGCAACUGACACUCAGGGACGAAAGCUAGGGGAGCGAAUGGG